Molecule: long non-coding RNA, 901 nt
Organism: Vicia villosa (hairy vetch)
Lineage: Eukaryota; Viridiplantae; Streptophyta; Magnoliopsida; Fabales; Fabaceae
Exons: 4
Source: RefSeq, a predicted model, not a curated record
CCUCUUCUCGUCCUCCUAUCUCUCGUCUCUCUCCCUAUUUUUUUCUCAGUCACAAACGCUUAUGCCUUCUCCUAUCUCUCUUUGCUUUCGGAUUUCUCUCUUAAGCACAAAGCUUUUUUCAUAUGUAAUUUUUGAAACUUAAUAUUGUUAUCAUUUUAACUAACAAAUGUUUAUUUGGUAUUUUACAGGUUCAUCUUUAUCAUAUUUUUUCAAGGAGUUGGAUGGAUUCAAGGAUACAUUAUAGAAGAUUUAUAUAAUUUUAUCUUAGUAAUCAAAAGCGUGAAAGAUAAUAGAAGUUUUUUACAGAUGAAGGACCAAAGAGUUGCAGCUUGAAAGAUAAUAGAAGUUUUUUUUACAGAUGAAGGACCAAAGAGUUGCAGCUUGAAAGAUAAUUGGAGUUUUUUUACAGAUGAAGGACCAAAGAAUUGAAGGUUUGUGUUAAACUUAAUAUGUAAUGUAUAGAUCUGAUGAACUAUAGUGGUUUUGUGUUUAAAAAAUGUUGUUUUGAUCUUACAGCUCGAAAGAUAAUAGUAAGUUUGGUGUAUAUUGUUGUGUUUGAAUUAUGAUUACUAAUCAUUCUAGUAGAUAUUCCACCACUGACCACAACAAUACUGUAGUAAAUUAUGGCCUCCAUUUUUUGGUAAAGUUAAAGCAAAAACUUGUGGCAGUGGCUUAUGUGCUUCUAACUUUUAUGAAUGUGAAUUCUGUUUUGAGGUUCUAUCCCUAAUUCAACUUACUUUUUUUGUAUAGGAAAAACAUAUGAACAAGCAUACAUGAGUUGGACUUAGUAGUGAGAAGAUUUCAGUAUUUGUGUUUAUGUGAUUUUUUUAAUUAUUUAAGAACUUAAUAUGGACUGAAUUUUAUUGAAUUUAUUGUGUUAUAAUUUUUUAUUUAUCUGAUC